AGUGAACGCUGGCGGUAUGCCUAACACAUGCAAGUCGAACGGCAGCACAGUAAGAGCUUGCUCUUACGGGUGGCGAGUGGCGGACGGGUGAGGCAUACAUCGGAAUCUACUUUUUCGUGGGGGAUAACGUAGGGAAACUUACGCUAAUACCGCAUACGACCUACCGGUGAAAUCAGGGGAUCUUCGCACCUUUCGCGAUUGUAUUAGCCGAGGUCGGAUUAGCUGGUUGGCUGGGUAAAGUCCCGCCAUGCCGACGAUCCGUAGCUGGUCUGACGGGAGGGUCAGCCACACUGAACCUGAGACAGGGUCCAGACUCCUACGGGAGGCAGCAGUGGGGAAUAUUGGAAAAUGGGCGCAAGCCUGAGCCAGACAUACCGCGUGGGUGAAGAAGGCCUUCGAGUUGUAAAGCCCGUUUGUUGGGAAAGAAAAGCAGCAGGUUAAUACCCCGCUGUUCUGACGGAACCCAAAGAAUAAGCACGGGCAAACUUCGU
RNAcentral lists this ribosomal RNA (491 nucleotides) under uncultured bacterium. Its description in RNAcentral is "partial 16S ribosomal RNA". It matches the Rfam family "Bacterial small subunit ribosomal RNA", at positions 29 to 506 of the family's 1533-position model. The record is from RNAcentral.